AUAAAGGACAUGGUAAUGCAAAGCAGAAAGCAAGUAAAUUACUGAAGAAAGGAAGGAAAGAUGGUGAUAAGCUGCCCAGGGUUUUGCGUUCUUCCAGUAAAAAGCAGGAUGAAUCUACGUUGCCUCAGCAGGACUCUCGCUACAAUAUGAAAGAACUGAAAGCUUCAUUGGAGGUGAUUAAGAAAAUAAUGAAGAUGGAUGAGGCUCAACCAUUUAAUGUUCCCGCCGAUCCUGUUGCUUCGAGAAAACCUGAUUACUUUAGUGUGAUAGAUACCCCAAUGGAUUUUGGUACAAUAUGUUGUAAUUUAGAAAAUAGCACAAAGUACAUGAAUGCAGAAGACGUU
This is a long non-coding RNA of Hibiscus syriacus, 344 nucleotides long. RefSeq lists it as uncharacterized. The transcript is spliced from 3 exons. Lineage: Eukaryota; Viridiplantae; Streptophyta; Magnoliopsida; Malvales; Malvaceae. The record is from RefSeq and is a predicted model, not a curated record.